UUUAUCUAAUAUGGCAGAUUAGUGCAAUGGAUUUAAGAUCCAUAUAUAAAGCAAAGCUUUUUUUAGAAGCUA
RNAcentral lists this transfer RNA (72 nucleotides) under Melanotus okinawensis. RNAcentral describes it as "tRNA-Leu". The stretch from base 5 to 68 matches the Rfam family "tRNA". From Rfam's summary of the family: Transfer RNA (tRNA) molecules are approximately 80 nucleotides in length. Their secondary structure includes four short double-helical elements and three loops (D, anti-codon, and T loops). The record is from RNAcentral. Lineage: Eukaryota; Metazoa; Arthropoda; Insecta; Coleoptera; Elateridae. RNAcentral also lists the same sequence under 1 other name.